Molecule: unclassified non-coding RNA, 310 nt
Filed under: plant metagenome
Description: partial contains 5.8S ribosomal RNA, internal transcribed spacer 2, and large subunit ribosomal RNA
Rfam family: 5.8S ribosomal RNA (bases 1-105)
Source: RNAcentral
GAAAUGCGAUAAGUAGUGUGAAUUGCAGAAUUCAGUGAAUCAUCGAAUCUUUGAACGCACAUUGCGCCCCUUGGUAUUCCAUGGGGCAUGCCUGUUCGAGCGUCAUUUGUACCCUCAAGCUCUGCUUGGUGUUGGGUGUUUGUCCCCGUCACCGCGCGUGGACUCGCCCCAAAGUGAUUGGCAGCCGGCGUACUGGUCCCGGAGCGCAGCACAUGUCGCGCAAACGAGUGCCUUGGUACGGCGGCGUCCAUAAGCCCCUCUCUCACGCUCUUGACCUCGGAUCAGGUAGGGAUACCCGCUGAACUUAAGC